UGCGGAGGGAUCAUUACCGA
RNAcentral lists this ribosomal RNA (20 nucleotides) under Lectera longa. RNAcentral's name for it is "partial 18S ribosomal RNA". Lineage: Eukaryota; Fungi; Ascomycota; Sordariomycetes; Glomerellales; Plectosphaerellaceae. The record is from RNAcentral.